CCUACGGGUGGCAGCAGUGAGGAAUAUUGGUCAAUGGACGAGAGUCUGAACCAGCCAAGUAGCGUGAAGGAUGACUGCCCUAUGGGUUGUACACUUCUUUUAUAUGGGAAUAAAAUGUUCCACGUGUGGGAUUUUGUAUGUACCAUAUGAAUACGGAUCGGCUAACUCCGGGCCGGCAGCCGCGGUAAUACGGAGGAGCCGAGCGUUUUCCGGAUUUAUUGGGUUUAAAGGGAGCGUAGGUGGAUUGUGAAGGCAGUUGUGAAAGGUUGCGGCUCAACCGUAAAAUUGCAGUUGAAACUGGCAGUCUAGAGUACAGUAGAGGUGGGCGGAAUUCGUGGUGUAGCGGUGAAAUGCUUAGAUAUCACGAAGAACUCCGAUUGCGAAGGCAGCUCACUGGACUGCAACUGACACUGAGGCUCGAAAGUGUGGGUAUCAAACAGGAUUAGAUUCCCUUGUAGUC
RNAcentral lists this ribosomal RNA (460 nucleotides) under uncultured bacterium. Its description in RNAcentral is "partial 16S ribosomal RNA". It matches the Rfam family "Bacterial small subunit ribosomal RNA", at positions 338 to 795 of the family's 1533-position model. The record is from RNAcentral.